AGAAGCUUGGCUUCUCUGAUGUUAGCGGCGGACGGGUGAGUAACACGUGGAUAACCUACCUAUAAGACUGGGAUAACUUCGGGAAACCGGAGCUAAUACCGGAUAAUAUUUUGAACCGCAUGGUUCAAAAGUGAAAGACGGUCUUGCUGUCACUUAUAGAUGGAUCCGCGCUGCAUUAGCUAGUUGGUAAGGUAACGGCUUACCAAGGCAACGAUGCAUAGCCGACCUGAGAGGGUAAUCGGCCACACUGGAACUGAGACACGGUCCAGACUCCUACGGGAGGCAGCAGUAGGGAAUCUUCCGCAAUGGGCGAAAGCCUGACGGAGCAACGCCGCGUGAGUGAUGAAGGUCUUCGGAUCGUAAAACUCUGUUAUUAGGGAAGAACAUAUGUGUAAGUAACUGUGCACAUCUUGACGGUACCUAAUCAGAAAGCCACGGCUAACUACGUGCCAGCAGCCGCGGUAAUACGUAGGUGGCAAGCGUUAUCCGGAAUUAUUGGGCGUAAAGCGCGCGUAGCGGUUUUUUAAGUCUGAUGUGAAAGCCCACGGCUCAACCGUGGAGGGUCAUUGGAAACUGGAAAACUUGAGUGCAGAAGAGGAAAGUGGAAUUCCAUGUGUAGCGGUGAAAUGCGCAGAGAUAUGGAGGAACACCAGUGGCGAAGGCGACUUUCUGGUCUGUAACUGACGCUGAUGUGCGAAAGCGUGGGGAUCAAACAGGAUUAGAUACCCUGGUAAUCCACGCCGUAAACGAUGAGUGCUAAGUGUUAGGGGGUUUCCGCCCCUUAGUGCUGCAGCUAACGCAUUAAGCACUCCGCCUGGGGAGUACGACCGCAAGGUUGAAACUCAAAGGAAUUGACGGGGACCCGCACAAGCGGUGGAGCAUGUGGUUUAAUUCGAAGCAACGCGAAGAACCUUACCAAAUCUUGACAUCCUUUGACAACUCUAGAGAUAGAGCCUUCCCCUUCGGGGGACAAAGUGACAGGUGGUGCAUGGUUGUCGUCAGCUCGUGUCGUGAGAUGUUGGGUUAAGUCCCGCAACGAGCGCAACCCUUAAGCUUAGUUGCCAUCAUUAAGUUGGGCACUCUAAGUUGACUGCCGGUGACAAACCGGAGGAAGGUGGGGAUGACGUCAAAUCAUCAUGCCCCUUAUGAUUUGGGCUACACACGUGCUACAAUGGACAAUACAAAGGGCAGCGAAACCGCGAGGUCAAGCAAAUCCCAUAAAGUUGUUCUCAGUUCGGAUUGUAGUCUACAACUCGACUACAUGAAGCUGGAAUCGCUAGUAAUCGUAGAUCAGCAUGCUACGGUGAAUACGUUCCCGGGUCU
This 1323-nucleotide ribosomal RNA is filed under the name uncultured bacterium. RNAcentral describes it as "bacterial SSU rRNA". It matches the Rfam family "Bacterial small subunit ribosomal RNA", at positions 73 to 1381 of the family's 1533-position model. The record is from RNAcentral.